Brassica napus (rape) is the source of this 1474-nucleotide long non-coding RNA. RefSeq lists it as uncharacterized. Lineage: Eukaryota; Viridiplantae; Streptophyta; Magnoliopsida; Brassicales; Brassicaceae. The transcript is spliced from 2 exons. The record is from RefSeq and is a predicted model, not a curated record.
CAUUCAAUCAUGUUUUUUUUUUUUUUUUUCAUUUCACUUCAGAUCUUUUCUAGUCUUGUUUGGCAACUAGAUCAAUCAUACUCGUGUUUCAGCUUGGUUUGGUUUUAAAAUUUCAAAUUAAAUUAUUGUUAGUUGUAUAAUACUAUAGUUAUCCAUUUGACCAAAAAUAUACUAUAGUUAAUUAUCUCAAAUGGCACUUGACAUAAAUUAAUUAAGGAUGACAAUACCAUAAUUACCAUAAUGGGAUCUCGCUGGAAACCUGUAUGCUUUUUACUUUAUUUUUAUUUUUUUACCAUGUUGUCUUAAUAUAUUAUCUAAAGUAAUAAAAUAUUUCAAAGAAUGAGAUACUUUCCCUAUCAAAAACACUGAUACCCUUCGUUCCGAUUCCUCUGCUGCUCCUCUCUUAGCUUUCUCCCGAUCAAGAAGAUCCUCCUUCUCCGGUCCGGCACCGGCGUGCCGGUGCCGGAGGUUUAAUCCUUUAACCCUUCCUCUCCUUUUCCUUUUGCCUUUCUCCCCAUCGGUUUUAACCCUGUCGAGAUGCUCGUGACUCUGAGCCUGGCUGAGUCUCACCGGAAACUGUAGAGGUUGAAGGUGGCUUCAUAUGGUGGUGUUGGAGGAACGGCGAGACAGUGGAACGACAGAUGCGGUUUGUGGUGUAGGUUUGGUUCUGUUCAUCAUUGUAUGGACUUGUUUGGGUUGUCUCUCUAGCUCCGAAUCUGUUUUCUGGUGCGCGGUGCAGGACUAAGCCGGCUCUGAUGUGGGUUGUUACUUCUUCCAUCGGAUUUGGAGAGACGUGUCUUAGGCAGGUCAAUGGUGGUUAUGGAUGCUCGAUCUUGUUUUCUAUUUCCUUUGGCAGUUGGUAUUGAAGGUCUGGUCUUGAAUUGAGUUCAGAGUUCUUUGAAUUUCUGGUGAAAGAGUGGUCUGUGGCUGUGUUUGAAGAGUCCUUGAUGAGGGCUUUUAGCUAUGGAGUGUGUUCAUAUUGGGGCUUGUCCUCGAUACGGUGGCCUCUUUUGACCCUUGAGUUUGAUUGUUUAGUGUGGUCAUUGCGAAGCUUCGGUGCUGUGUGGAUGUGAUGUUCUUUGAUAUUUAACCGACGGGUUUAUCCGGAUUUUAUGGGAAGGGACUUUGGAGCUUAUACUCUUUCGCGUGGGGUCAUUGAGCUGACGAUUGUCAACCUAGUUUCUUCAUUGACUGCUCGGGUGGAGAUCCGUUUUCUUGUGGCUUCUUUAGGAUGAAGCUUGCUCUUAAGUGACGGUUGCUGGCGGGUCCUCAGGUGUUGGUCCUCAAGCCUUGCUCUCAUCCCAAAUAAAUUUGACAUCCAACGCUUUUUCAUUUAUUCUAGCAUCCGGCUCCAGCUAGCUUCUCUUCUUGACGAUUAUGUGUGAACACUAGAAGUUUUUAAGACUCUUUCUCAUUUUUUUUAAGUUUAUGUAAUCGAUUUCAGCUUCUUUAUUGGUUCUGGGGGCUUUGUUUA